Molecule: small nucleolar RNA, 95 nt
Filed under: Dipodomys ordii (Ord's kangaroo rat)
Lineage: Eukaryota; Metazoa; Chordata; Mammalia; Rodentia; Heteromyidae
Description: Small nucleolar RNA SNORA11
Rfam family: Small nucleolar RNA SNORA11
About the family: U107 (SNORA11) is a member of the H/ACA class of snoRNAs that guide the sites of modification of uridines to pseudouridines. This snoRNA was identified by RT-PCR from blood cells and its expression confirmed by Northern blot analysis.
Source: Rfam by way of RNAcentral
GGGUUCUUCUCAGAAUAGGGGUUCCAAAGAAUGGAUCUUUGUUUAUAACACAUCCAAUAGCAAUUUAUGGCCUUUUUUUUUUUGGUCAGUCAUGG